This 911-nucleotide ribosomal RNA is filed under the name uncultured archaeon. Its description in RNAcentral is "bacterial SSU rRNA". It matches the Rfam family "Archaeal small subunit ribosomal RNA", at positions 5 to 921 of the family's 1478-position model. The record is from RNAcentral.
CGGUUGAUCCUGCCGGAGGUCACCGCUAUUGGGAUUCGACUAAGCCAUGCGAGUCGAGAGGGUUCGGCCCUCGGCUGACGGCUCAGUAACACGUGGAUAAUCUGCCCUAUGGUGGAGGAUAACCUCGGGAAACUGAGAACAAUACUCCAUAGGUCUAGGAGGCUGGAAUGCAUCUAGACUGAAAACUCCGGUGCCAUAGGAUGAGUCUGCGGACUAUCAGGUUGUAGUCAGGGUAAUGACCUGACUAGCCUACGACGGAUACGGGUUGUGAGAGCAAUAACCCGGAGAUGAUAUCUGAGACACGAUAUCAGGCCCUACGGGGCGCAGCAGGCGCGAAAACUUCACACUGCGCGAAAGCGCGAUGAGGGGAUCCCAAGUGUAUGCACGUAAGUGUAUACUGUUUCUAUGUUUAAAACGCAUUGAGAGUAAGGGCUGGGUAAGACGGGUGCCAGCCGCCGCGGUAAUACCUGCAGCUCGAGUGGUGAUCACUAUUAUUGGGCCUAAAACGUCCGUAGCCGGUCUAGUAAAUGCCUGGGUAAAUCGUACGGCUUAACCGUACGAAUUCUGGGUAGACUGCUAAACUUGAGACCGGGAGAGGCUAGAGGUACUCCUGGGGUAGAGGUGAAAUUCUGUAAUCCUAGGGGGACCACCAGUGGCGAAGGCGUCUAGCUAGAACGGGUCUGACGGUGAGGGACGAAGCCCUGGGGCGCGAACCGGAUUAGAUACCCGGGUAGUCCAGGGUGUAAACGCUGCUUGCUUGAUGUUAGUCGGGCUCCGAGCCCGAUUAGUGUCGGAGUGAAGAUGUUAAGCAAGCUGCCUGGGAAGUACGAUCGCAAGAUUGAAACUUAAAGGAAUUGGCGGGGAAGCACAGCAACGGGUGGAGCGUGCGGUUUAAUUGGAUUCAACGCCGG